GUACGAAAAGAAAGGUACGAGAAGAUAGAUACUGACACGGAGAUUGCAAAACUUGUUUUUAUGAACAUCUCAAUACUUGUAUUUCUGAGUAUGGAACGAAAGAAAUGGGUCAUGUCAAAAUGGAACUGGCCGGUUUCGUCAAUGUUUACCACCCGGUUUGGUCAUAGAUUUCACAAUGCAUAACCCGGUUUGGUCAAAUAAAAAAAAAAUCAUAAUCGCAUGAUAAUUUAACUUCAGUGUUAAAAAGGAGUUUUGUGACCGGGUCGUUGGAAAACAAGUUCUUUCACAGGACAACGGCUUAUUAUUUAUAUGAUUAGUCUCAGAUUCAAAUAAAUAAUAAGCGAACACUAGAAUUCCUACUCUUAUAGAACACAAAUAAUUUUAAUUUUACUUUGCAUUCAAAAAAUUUUAACAGCAGAAUACAUAUAAAUGAAGGUUAUAACGCAAAUUGAGG
This 454-nucleotide long non-coding RNA is filed under the name Mytilus galloprovincialis (Mediterranean mussel). The record is from RNAcentral. Lineage: Eukaryota; Metazoa; Mollusca; Bivalvia; Mytilida; Mytilidae.